UACGGGGGGGGCAAGCGUUGUUCGGAAUUACUGGGCGUAAAGGGCUCGUAGGUGGCCAACUAAGUCAGACGUGAAAUCCCUCGGCUUAACCGGGGAACUGCGUCUGAUACUGGAUGGCUUGAGUUUGGGAGAGGGACGCGGAAUUCCAGGUGUAGCGGUGAAAUGCGUAGAUAUCUGGAGGAACACCGGUGGCGAAGGCGGCGUCCUGGACCAACACUGACACUGAGGAGCGAAAGCGUGGGUAGCAAACAGG
This 253-nucleotide ribosomal RNA is filed under the name uncultured bacterium. RNAcentral describes it as "partial 16S ribosomal RNA". It matches the Rfam family "Bacterial small subunit ribosomal RNA", at positions 524 to 776 of the family's 1533-position model. The record is from RNAcentral.